Molecule: ribosomal RNA, 524 nt
Filed under: uncultured Tulasnellaceae
Lineage: Eukaryota; Fungi; Basidiomycota; Agaricomycetes; Cantharellales; Tulasnellaceae
Description: eukaryotic LSU rRNA
Rfam family: Eukaryotic large subunit ribosomal RNA
Source: RNAcentral
UCGUACAUAACCUCAGUGGGGUAGGACAACCCGCUAGACUUAAGCAUAUUAAUCAGCGGAGGAAAAGAAACUAACAAGGAUUCCCCCAGUAACUGCGAGUGAAGAGGGAACGGCUCAACGUGUGAAUCUGGCCGGGAGUAACCCUCGGUCCAGAGUUGUGCACUGUAGACGUCGGUUUCUGCGCUUGAAUUCCAGUUGUCAGUCCCAAGUCGGAUGAAACACCGCGUCACAGAAGGUCAUAGCCCUGUGUCUGACUGUGCUUGAAUUUGCGCCAAUGACCGCACGUUCGUCGAGUCGCGUAGUUUUGUAAUGCUGCGCCAAUUGGGAGGUGGAACCCUUCUAAAGCUAAAUAUGAUGACGUGACCGAUAGCAAACAAGUACCGCGAGGGAAAGGUGAAAAGCAACCAUGUAGAAUGCGUUGAAACAGCAGUGAAAGUGCUACUGGGAUAAGGGCUAUCGACUGCUGGUCUCUUGGCGGCGUGCUUCAGUGCUGCCCCGGGAGCGGCUCGCGCCGAUUGGAAACG